AGGACGAACGCUGGCGGCGUGCUUAACACAUGCAAGUCGAGCGGUAAGGCCCUUCGGGGUACACGAGCGGCGAACGGGUGAGUAACACGUGGAUAAUCUGCCCUGCACUCUGGGAUAAGCCCGGGAAACUGGGUCUAAUACCGGAUAUGACAUCACUAGGCAUCUGGUGGUGUGGAAAGUUCCGGCGGUGCAGGAUGAGUCCGCGGCCUAUCAGCUUGUUGGUGGGGUGAUAGCCUACCAAGGCGACGACGGGUA
This 255-nucleotide ribosomal RNA is filed under the name uncultured bacterium. Its description in RNAcentral is "partial small subunit ribosomal RNA". It matches the Rfam family "Bacterial small subunit ribosomal RNA", at positions 26 to 285 of the family's 1533-position model. The record is from RNAcentral.